GACGACGCUGGCGGCGUGCUUAACACAUGCAAGUCGAACGGACGAGUGAGAUAAGUUUACUUAACUCACAAGUUAGUGGCGGACGGGUGAGUAACACGUGGAUAAUCUACCUGCAACACCGGGAUAACGCUGUGAAAACGGUGCUAAUACCGGAUACGUUCCCUUGUGCGCAUGUAUGAGGGAAGAAAGCUCAGGCGGUUGCAGAUGAGUCCGCGGCUGAUUAGCUAGUUGGUGAGGUAAAGGCUCACCAAGGCGAUGAUCAGUAGCCGGCCUGAGAGGGUGAACGGCCACACUGGGACUGAGACACGGCCCAGACUCCUGCGGGAGGCAGCAGUGGGGAAUCUUCCGCAAUGGGCGCAAGCCUGACGGAGCAACGCCGCGUGGGUGAAGAAGGCCUUCGGGUUGUAAAGCCCUGUCUUAUGGGAAGAAGUCAGUGACGGUACCAUAGGAGGAAGCCACGGCUAACUACGUG
RNAcentral lists this ribosomal RNA (472 nucleotides) under uncultured bacterium. RNAcentral describes it as "bacterial SSU rRNA". It matches the Rfam family "Bacterial small subunit ribosomal RNA", at positions 33 to 507 of the family's 1533-position model. The record is from RNAcentral.